RNAcentral lists this ribosomal RNA (548 nucleotides) under uncultured Glomeromycotina. Its description in RNAcentral is "SSU rRNA". It matches the Rfam family "Eukaryotic small subunit ribosomal RNA", at positions 548 to 1098 of the family's 1831-position model. Lineage: Eukaryota; Fungi; Glomeromycota. The record is from RNAcentral.
UUGGAGGGCAAGUCUGGUGCCAGCAGCCGCGGUAAUUCCAGCUCCAAUAGCGUAUAUUAAAGUUGUUGCAGUUAAAAAGCUCGUAGUUGAAUUUCGGGAUCAAUAUAUCGGUCGUGCCUUGGUACGUACUGGUAUCAUUGGUUUCUCCUUUCUGACGAACCAUGAUGUCAUUAAUUUUGUGUUAUGGGAAGUUAGGACUGUUACUUUGAAAAAAUUAGAGUGUUUAAAGCAGGCUUUAGCUUGAAUACAUUAGCAUGGAAUAAUGAAAUAGGACGUUCGAACCUAUUUUGUUGGUUUCUAGGAUCAACGUAAUGAUUAAUAGGGAUAGUUGGGGGCAUUAGUAUUCAAUUGUCAGAGGUGAAAUUCUUGGAUUUAUUGAAGACUAACUACUGCGAAAGCAUUUGCCAAGGAUGUUUUCAUUAAUCAAGAACGAAAGUUAGGGGAUCGAAGACGAUCAGAUACCGUCGUAGUCUUAACCAUAAACUAUGCCGACUAGGGAUCGGAUGAUAUUAAUUUUUUAAUGACUCAUUCGGCGCCUUACGGGAAAC